RNAcentral lists this ribosomal RNA (208 nucleotides) under uncultured bacterium. Its description in RNAcentral is "partial 16S ribosomal RNA". It matches the Rfam family "Bacterial small subunit ribosomal RNA", at positions 568 to 774 of the family's 1533-position model. The record is from RNAcentral.
CGUGUAGGCGGAUUCGUGCGUCUGUCGCUGAAAUCCCCCGGCUCAACCGGGGAACGGGCGCGGAUACGACGAGUCUGGAGGGGCAUAGGGGGACCUGGAACUUCCGGUGGAGCGGUGAAAUGCGUUGAGAUCGGAAGGAACGCCCGUGGCGAAAGCGAGGUCCUGGAUGCCUACUGACGCUGAGACGCGAAAGCCAGGGGAGCGAACG